Molecule: unclassified non-coding RNA, 207 nt
Filed under: Hevea brasiliensis (rubber tree)
Lineage: Eukaryota; Viridiplantae; Streptophyta; Magnoliopsida; Malpighiales; Euphorbiaceae
Source: RNAcentral
AAAAUUCUCCAUUGAAAUUGCCAAUGAUAGUUCCUUCAUGUAAGCCAUUCUUUCUUGCAUGAUUACGUGCAGUUGAUGUGAGAUACGUGCCCUGCCCAACCCAUAUUAUUGAAGCAGCAAAACCAAGGUAGACAGAAGCAGGAACCAUUGUAAACCAAGUUGGCUUCAAAUUUGCAGCUAUGAACAACCAAUAACCAGUAGUCCCAA